This 278-nucleotide unclassified non-coding RNA is filed under the name Hevea brasiliensis (rubber tree). Lineage: Eukaryota; Viridiplantae; Streptophyta; Magnoliopsida; Malpighiales; Euphorbiaceae. The record is from RNAcentral.
GUGUUAGCUCCACUGAUAGUGACUGCCCAUUUGAUUCACGUGUCCUAAGCCCCCUCACAUCUGACUAUGAAUAUGGAAACAGAACUGCUACAAACAGCCCAUCAAGCUUGAAGCAGAAAGAUCAAUCCCCUAUUGUCUGUAAAAAAAGCUCCAAAGAGGUGUUGAAGCCUGUUGAUUUUUCACUCAGUAAUCAUAUUCCUUCUACAUCUCCAAGACGGGCUCCUUUAAGCACUCAUGUACAGAAUUUACAGAUUCCUAAUCGAGGUGCAUUCUGCAGU